RNAcentral lists this transfer RNA (76 nucleotides) under Anaerolineae bacterium. RNAcentral's name for it is "tRNA-Glu". It matches the Rfam family "tRNA". Rfam says of the family: Transfer RNA (tRNA) molecules are approximately 80 nucleotides in length. Their secondary structure includes four short double-helical elements and three loops (D, anti-codon, and T loops). Lineage: Bacteria; Bacillati; Chloroflexota; Anaerolineae. The record is from RNAcentral.
GCCCCCAUCGUCUAGUGGUCCAGGACAUGGCCCUCUCAAGGCUAAAACGGGGGUUCGAGUCCCCCUGGGGGCACCA